RNAcentral lists this long non-coding RNA (649 nucleotides) under Neogale vison (American mink). Its description in RNAcentral is "Neovison vison (American mink) lncRNA (ENSNVIG00000021626.1)". Lineage: Eukaryota; Metazoa; Chordata; Mammalia; Carnivora; Mustelidae. The record is from RNAcentral.
UCCCUCCCACCCUCGCCUAAGCCUGACAGCCUGGCCCGGUAGCCCCCACUCACGGAGUUUCCACCCCCUUUUCAGUUUCACUCGGAGAUCAGGGGCUGUACCAUACUCCCAUUUCUUGAUCGUUUCCAUUUUUAAGUUUCAGAAUCGCCACCAUCACAACCACCGUGACACAAAUUUUGAACUAUGCCACAGCUCAUAGUUUUCCUGGAUUCAAGUCACUUGAAAUCAUCUAUCUGAUCAGUUUGGCUGACAUUCUUUCGGAGUUGGGAUACUAGUGUCCUUGGGUUUUAUGUUAAUCUUUCCUGAUUUCAUCAAUGAAAUGAUCACCUGACUGCAAUCAACGAUGAAAUGAUGUAAAGAGUCAGAGUAUUACAGCCACUGCGUUGGAGGAAAAUAACUUGUAAAUACUAAGGUCAAACCGCCAGGAACCCACAUUAGAGUUACAUACUGUGGGAAAGCAUUAAACUCUGCAUGCACUUUUAAAAAGCAUUCCAUGUGAAGUUUGAAAAUGAAAUGUCAAAUCCUUUCUCUAGAAUAUAAAUUGCUACUGAUUUCAGGAGUGGAAUCUAUCAGCUACCUGAGAUUUGAAGAGAAGUUCUUGCAGUGCAAAUUUGUUCAGCUCUGGUUGUAGAAGAGUCCCUGGGUUCAG